CUAUUUUGGCAGAUUAGUGCAAUAAAUUUAGAAUUUAUUUAUAUAAUGUAAAUUAUAGAUAGUA
Molecule: transfer RNA, 64 nt
Filed under: Trichopygomyia trichopyga
Lineage: Eukaryota; Metazoa; Arthropoda; Insecta; Diptera; Psychodidae
Description: tRNA-Leu
Source: RNAcentral